Molecule: ribosomal RNA, 253 nt
Filed under: uncultured bacterium
Lineage: Bacteria
Description: partial 16S ribosomal RNA
Rfam family: Bacterial small subunit ribosomal RNA
Source: RNAcentral
UACGGAGGGUGCAAGCGUUAUCCGGAUUCACUGGGUUUAAAGGGUGCGCAGGCGGAUAUGUAAGUCAGUGGUGAAAUCUUCCCGCUUAACGGGAAAACUGCCGUUGAUACUAUAUAUCUUGAAUGCCGUGGAGGUAAGCGGAAUAUGUCAUGUAGCGGUGAAAUGCUUAGAGAUGACAUAGAACACCUAUUGCGAAGGCAGCUUACUACACGGAGAUUGACGCUCAUGCACGAAAGCGUGGGGAUCAAACAGG